CUGACAUGGGGACGGAAGGCUGGUGAAUGAUGUUCAGGGACAUUCAUUUAGAAGCACCCUGCAGGAGGCAUGUCACACACCUGGACUCAAGACUCGGGGACCAUGAGUGGUACUUGAAGGCACUGGAUCUUUGAGCAAUAUUACACAGCAGAUAAAACCAUCAGGCUAAGUCAAGAGAAAGAACAGUAGAAGCAGGUCCUGCUCCGUGAUGCCUGCGGCUGUGGGUAGGCGAGACCCUCAGUGCUGGGCCCUCUGGGACUGUCGUCAGUGCUUCGUAUGCAAUGCUCUCCACCAAGCUACAGGUCCGAAAGGGGCAGCUUUUAUUCCCGUUGACUACUGGAGGAAGCUGAUGCCCAACGAGAUGGAGGAUGUCGCAAUCUGAGUUCUCACGGAUGGCUCCAGUAGUCCGGGGGUGUUGCUUGGUUGGGAAAGGGAGGAAUGAAUGAACGAAUUGAUGAAAUGUUGUCUGUGCUUUGGAAUAGGGCCCGUGUCCGAGUCCUGGUGAAAACAAGGUUGUGGCUAACCCAGACUCUCUCCACC
Molecule: long non-coding RNA, 540 nt
Organism: Microtus oregoni (creeping vole)
Lineage: Eukaryota; Metazoa; Chordata; Mammalia; Rodentia; Cricetidae
Exons: 3
Source: RefSeq, a predicted model, not a curated record